Equus asinus (donkey) is the source of this 2313-nucleotide long non-coding RNA. The record is from Ensembl. NCBI's taxonomy places the organism in Eukaryota, Metazoa, Chordata, Mammalia, Perissodactyla, Equidae.
AAAGAACACAGUGUUGGGGCCUAUAUCCUAGGCCCCCCGCCUCAUCGGCCCAGACAGAAUGGGGAGCUGGCAGCAGCUCCUAGCCCUCAGGCCAGGAGAAGUCACCCAACCUGUGCACAGCCCACUUGUUCCCAGGGGCCACGACUGCAAGACUGUGGCUCCUCCCCCCGACACGCCCUCGAGGCCAGGGAAAAUCCUGAUAACUUAAGAAGUUUCCCUAACCUGGGUUAGAGGAGGGAGGCACUGGCCCUGGGGUUCCAGAAAGUUCCCACUGUGAGUCUCAGUUAACCCACAAAAGACAGCUCAUGCCCCUUCUUGCAGGGACCCCCACUGCCCACUGCUGGAAAUAAGAACCUCAGUGUCUCUGAUACUUCGUGUGACCGAGGCAGACUUGUGGUUGUUGGCGGCGUCGGACAGCAUUUUCCAAACUGCUGAUAAAUCCCAACAGCUGAAGACCAACAAGAACCAAUCUAGAGUCCAAAGAAGUUAUUAUUAACUUGCUGCAACAAGGAAGAAUACCCCUACAGAAACCAUAAAGUACCUCACCAAAUAAAAGACAACAUAAGGAUAUAAGAUGAUUUUGAAGAAGGGUGGAGUUUAGGUAUUGCCAAAGCGUCAUCAGGGUUUAGUUCUUGCUGCUAUGCUGCCCCAGGGUGCUAAAAUGUGAAUGAUGCAUAAUAUCCCUAUGGAUGUGAUCAGUCUAAUCAAAGCGGCCCUGGAGCCUAGGUUUCGCUUCUUUGAGUUUAGCAAGUCCAGCUCUUACUGCCAAGCACAACUUCCUCAACACUGACCCCUCCUUCUGGGUGACUUAGGCUACCCUGUUGCUACAUACUGAUUUCUGUGAAGCCAUGGACUGCAUCUUAGCUGAUUCUCACCUAGUCAACUCUGCACCAGAAGAACAGGAGUAGCCAAAUCCAUUCAGCUGCUUAAAAAGGGAGGAAAUUUUAAUUAUUUUCAUUGAUCUGUGCCCUACUUUAUCUUCUUCAAUCAUAUUUUUACUCUUAAUCAGGAAUAUGUUUCCCUUUCCUAAUGAAUAUUCCAAUGAGCUCUGGAGAUCUGGUGUUCCAUAUACGGUGCAUUCCUGAGCUCCUGUCAUAUUAAAUUUGCAUACCCAUUCAUACCUAUGUAGCAUUACUUGCUUAACUGAGGAAGGAGUAGGUAAGGAGUGAGCAUAAUAUGCCACUGAUGUUUCACUGUUUGUAUUUUUUUUUCUAAUGAGGCUUGUAAACUAUUUUAUUCAUUUAGAAAAAAAGGAAGAAAAACUGGCCUAAGAAACUUAGUGUUGAAAAAAAGGAAAAGAGAGCACAUAGAGUACACAGCAACAGUGCAAAUCAAAAAGUGCGUACACAUUUUAUGAGAAAAACAAAAGAAUAGAAAGAACAGACUGGUGGUUACCAGAGGGAGGGGGAGGAGGGUGGGAAAAUGGGUGAAGGCUAUCAAAAGACACAAACUUCCAGUUAGAAGAUUAAUAAGUUCUAGGAAUAUAAUGUACAGCAUGGUGACUAAAGUUAAGAAUACUAUACUGUAUAUUCGAAAGUACCUAAGAGCAGAUUUUAAAAGUUCUCACCACACACAAAAAAAAUGUAUAACUAUGUGAGGAGAUGGAUACGUUAACUUAUUGUGGCAAUAAUUUUGCAAUAUAUACAUACAUAAAAUCACUAUGUAUAUACCUUAAACCUAUGUCAAUUAUAUCUCAAUAAAGCCGGAAAAAAUAAAAUUUUAAAAACCAUAUUUUGAAUACCGCCUAAGAGGGAGGAGGGCAUGAGAGUGAUAAAUGGGAUUGAAGAAUAAUUAAAAACAAAUAGAAUACACUGGUCCUCUGGCAGAUCAAUACUAGUGGUUCAGAAACUGGAAUGUGAUUAACUUAACCCUGGGCACUUGAGGUUAAAAAUAAAUACAGAAAUUUUAAAAAACUUGACCAACUAAAACUAUGCUUCAUUUACUGGAAUAGUCUGUUAAUUAAUCAGGUAAUGUGCUUUUCAUGUUUUCUUGGAAGAAGCUAGAAAGAUAUUACUAUUGUUAUUAAUAAUUAGGUUGAGACUAGCUCUUUUUGUCAUGGCGUCAUGAUGGCAUAUGACUACCGGUUGUUAGUUGAAAGACACCUACAACUGGGACUGCCUAAGAGAAAUAUAAUUAAGAACCAUCGGAGCCGUCAAGAGACCAAAUGCAUACAGAAUACAAACGGACUAUGAAGAUUUACAAGGAAAUGGUUCCACAGGGGGAGUCUAAUGAUACGUAAACAGCCAGAGCUCAGCCUUUAAAUGGCUCCUCGUUUUUACCAGAACUCUGGGAUGGAAUUAAUUUCAUGUAAAU